This 1967-nucleotide long non-coding RNA is filed under the name Malus domestica (apple). Its description in RNAcentral is "long non-coding RNA (MDOM_LNC000016)". The record is from RNAcentral. Lineage: Eukaryota; Viridiplantae; Streptophyta; Magnoliopsida; Rosales; Rosaceae.
UUUCUGUCAAAUUCUUAAUUGAUGGCUGAUUUGGGAUUUUGAAGCAUGAUGUUAAAUUUCUUUAUAUUCUAACCGGUAUGUUUUUUUAUUAUUUUACUAUGAUACAUGGUCCAGUUUAAAAUAAAAUAAACAAUACAAUCAUUUUUAAAGCUUUUUAUGGGCCCCACCAAUUAAAAAUAAAUAAAAUAGAAGUGAAGGCAGCGUCAAAAUUGUCGCUAGAGGCCUUGCUGCCAUUCCAAGUCAGCCAAAAGAUUAUUCGGUUGGAGCAAUAUUUACUGUCAAAAGUGAUUAGUUGAUAUUACAUCUAAGAUUUGGCAUAUCAUUUGGAGACGGUUUAAGGAACUUCACUAACUAAAGACUAAGGGAUGUGGCCACUUAAUACUAUAGUUUAGUGGUAUUUCUCUUUAUUUAUAAGUAAGAAGUCUUAAUUUCGAUUCUCGUCAAAGACGAGUUUAAACCAUAUUAUAGUUAGCCCAUUGUAAGGCUAAAUUCACUCCCUCCCCUUUAGUGUAGAUACUAUUGUCUAUUCAAAAUAAUAAAAAAAAAAGACUAAGGAGUGAAGUUAAUUAAUCUUUCAAAAAAAUUUAAUAGAUAUUUUUAGGGAAAUAGACAGAAAUGACCCAUUUCUUAAUCUUUGGACCAAAAUAGGACAAAUCUGCUAUGCACAAGCCAUGCACACCAUGUACAAAAGUGAAAUGACGAAAGUAACCACAUAUAAAUUGUAAAAACUCACAUGUGAUGAUGUCAUUUUUCUUAUUUCGAAUAGAGAGCUGUGAGCUCUGGGUUUUUUGGUUGAGCUUAGAUCUAUGAGCAUACCAUGUGUAUAUCGUGUGCAUACAAUGAGUAUAUCUUAAAAAUUCAUCAAACAAAACACCAAAUUUUGCUAACUUUUAAUAAACAUUAUCACGACAUUCAGACAAGGUAGGGAAUCCCAAUAUAGAAGAGGAAGAAAUUGACUAAAUCGUUUGCUGCUUUUGUACUCAUGGACGAAACAAGGAAGAACAAAAUAGAAGAAUAUUUUGAUAUGAAAACAAAAACAUUCAAGUAACCUUCAGAAUAUAUAUUUUUGUGUUCAAUUCCAAUCCCUAUCAGAUUUAGAUGCUGAUGGGUGCGCCGAUGGGCCAUUUGUGUUGUUGAAAAUCCAUGGAUGCCCUUGGUUGGAGCUUGUACUUUGGGUUCGUACUGUGCAAGUGCGCCACCACAUGUUUGACGUAGCUAGAGCUUGACUAAACCCAAUUAUUCCUCUCAAAUUUGGAAUUUGUAACGAAGAAAUUCUGAUGGGGUCGAUUGCAAAGAAGGGGUUGCAACAGUACUUGCUUCAGCUUCAGUAUCAUCCGCUCAUAACCAAGGUCAAAUUCUAUGCCUUUUAUCAAAUUUUGUUUAUGGAUGCCAUGGAUGCCAUUCAGCUUGAGCAUCAUUUGCUCAUUCUGAUGGGGUCGAUUGCAAAGAAGGGUUUGAGUGGUAGAGACAGGGAAAGAGAGAGAGAGACCUGUUGGAUGAAGAAGAUGGGUGGGUUAGGGUUCUUCGAGUUGGGGAUUGGGUGAGAGAGAUUUUGGAGAAAGUUGCAAAUGAUCAUUGGGUGGGAGGAAAUAUACGAGGGCAAUUUAGUCAUUUUAAGGUUUAGAAAAAUCCUAUUUUUAUCAUAUUGUUUUGCAUAUCAUGUGGAUGGUUUAUGCAUAUCCGAAAGAUCUUAUUUUGGUCCUAAGAUUAAGAAAAUGAGUCAUUCUUGUCUAUUUCCUUUUUUUCAUUCUUGUCUAUUUCCUUUUUUUUAAGUAACAUAUUUCAAAGGAUUUUAACAAACUUUUACAAUUCUAUAUAGAUUUUGGCAUUUUUUAUAUGGAUUUCUAUUAUAGAUAUCUGACAACAUAAAAUGAAUUUAUUUCUCAAUGCACAAUCUAAAAAGAACAUAAACGUAAACAUACAUAUAUUGAUAUAGAAAUACACACCAAUCAAAUAUGUCUCUCACU